Ctenopharyngodon idella (grass carp) is the source of this 1035-nucleotide non-coding RNA. Lineage: Eukaryota; Metazoa; Chordata; Actinopteri; Cypriniformes; Xenocyprididae. The record is from the annotation of a RefSeq genome assembly.
AUGACCACAGUUUCAUUCACAUUAAGGCAAUAUUCAGAUACAGUUUUAUAAUAAAUCCAACUGUAUUAUAAACACAAACUACCUCUGGACUGCCAACAUGGAGAGACAUAUGCUGCUCAUGAUUCUCAUUGUAGUUACAGGUGGAUUUGCUGACAGAAUUGGACCAAGAGAAGGAAAUACUAAUAUAAUGAAGGGAGAAGGAGAGUCUGUGACACUGAGCUGUUCAUAUGAUAUAAGCAGCAAUAAUGUUUAUCUUUACUGGUACAGACAGUAUCCAAAAGGAGAACCUCAGUAUUUACUGUGGAAAGGUGCUCGAUCAGAGAGUGGUUAUGAGGAUAUAUCAGACCGUCGGUUUCGGUCAACAACAUCCCAAUCAUCCACUGAACUCAUUAUUGAUAAAGCAGCUCUGUCAGAUUCAGCUCUCUAUUAUUGUGCUCUAAGAGUAGUUGCCCAGUGAUACAAAAUGCCUGAGAAGCUUUACAAAAACUCAAAUACACAAUGUGCUUUAAACAGUCUUUAAUCUAACAGCAUCAAACCACAAUUUAUUAUUUUUUUGUAAACCACAGCUCUGGAAAUACCACUGUGGCAACACCUGUGAAUAUGGCAGAUUAUGAAAGGUUAUAUAUGGGGCAUGUGAAACUAUCAUUAAGCAUUUGUUUUUCUAAAUAUGUUAUUUAAAAAUCAUUCAGUGAACAAAGGGAAUGGAAUUUGUUAAACUAAAAAAUUAACAAAAACUAACAUACAAAUAAGAAAACAUAAAAAUACAUUUUUUUUUCUGAAGUAGUUCUCUGUUUAUUAUCUUCUAUUUUCUUACCCCAUUGGCAGGUUUUUUUUUUUUUUUUAACUUAAACUCACUGAAUUUUGAAAAAUUAUUCAGAAAACGACUUUUUGUUGACAAGUCGUUUUGUUUCUUGAGUAAAUGUUUCUUGAUUUAACAAUUUUAAGAUAUUUGUAACUAAAAUACAGAGCUAAGCCCAACGUAGACUUCACUCUUUGCAUGAUGCAAGUUUCAUCAUCAGAAGAGUAUGUGUGUAC